GACGAACGCUGGCGGCGUGCUUAACACAUGCAAGUCGAACGGAAAGGCCCCUUUGGGGGUACUCGAGUGGCGAACGGGUGAGUAACACGUGAGUAACCUGCCCUUGACUUCGGGAUAACUUCAGGAAACUGGGGCUAAUACCGGAUAGGAAUCCUUGCUGCAUGGUGGGGGUUGGAAAGCUUCGGCGGUUUUGGAUGGACUCGCGGCGUAUCAGCUUGUUGGUGGGGUAGUGGCUUACCAAGGCUUUGACGGGUAGCCGGCCUGAGAGGGCGACCGGCCACAUUGGGACUGAGGUACGGCCCAGACUCCUACGGGAGGCAGCAGUGGGGAAGAUUGCACCAUGGGCGGAAGCCUGAUGCAGCAACGCCGCGUGCGGGAUGACGGCCUUCGGGUUGUAAACCGCUUUCAGCAGGGGCGAAGCUUGUGGUGACGGUACCUGCAGAAGAAGCACCGGCUAACUACGUG
This 465-nucleotide ribosomal RNA is filed under the name uncultured bacterium. RNAcentral describes it as "partial 16S ribosomal RNA". It matches the Rfam family "Bacterial small subunit ribosomal RNA", at positions 28 to 507 of the family's 1533-position model. The record is from RNAcentral.